This 77-nucleotide transfer RNA is filed under the name Candidatus Peribacter riflensis. Its description in RNAcentral is "tRNA-Pro". It matches the Rfam family "tRNA". Rfam says of the family: Transfer RNA (tRNA) molecules are approximately 80 nucleotides in length. Their secondary structure includes four short double-helical elements and three loops (D, anti-codon, and T loops). RNAcentral also lists the same sequence under 4 other names. Lineage: Bacteria; Candidatus Peregrinibacteriota; Candidatus Peribacteria; Candidatus Peribacterales. The record is from RNAcentral.
CGGGGCGUAGUUCAGUUGGCUAGAACGCUUGCAUGGGGUGCAAGAGGUCGCAGGUUCAAGUCCUGUCGCCCCGACCA